RNAcentral lists this ribosomal RNA (468 nucleotides) under uncultured bacterium. RNAcentral describes it as "partial 16S ribosomal RNA". It matches the Rfam family "Bacterial small subunit ribosomal RNA", at positions 28 to 507 of the family's 1533-position model. The record is from RNAcentral.
GACGAACGCUGGCGGCGUGCUUAACACAUGCAAGUCGAACGGAAAGGCCCUGCUUUUGUGGGGUGCUCGAGUGGCGAACGGGUGAGUAACACGUGAGUAACCUGUCCUUGACUUUGGGAUAACUUCAGGAAACUGGGGCUAAUCCCGGAUAGGAGCUCUUGCUGCAUGGUGGGGGUUGGAAAGUUUCGGCGGUUGGGGAUGGACUCGCGGCUUAUCAGCUUGUUGGUGGGGUAGUGGAUUACCAAGGCUUUGACGGGUAGCCGGCCUGAGAGGGUGACCGGCCACAUUGGGACUGAGAUACGGCCCAGACUCCUACGGGAGGCAGCAGUGGGGAAUAGUGCACAAUGGGCGGAAGCCUGAUGCAGCAACGCCGCGUGCGGGAUGACGGCCUUCGGGUUGUAAACCGCUUUCGCCUGUGACGAAGCGUGAGUGACGGUAAUGGGUAAAGAAGCACCGGCUAACUACGUG